UCUGAGAUAGCAACAUACAGUGAAUCAUUCCCCAUAACAAUUUAUAAGGUGCGAGAAUGAAAAAUUCAAGUACGAAAAGAUUGAGUGAAGCUAGCAUAUAAUAUUUGUAGUAGGCAACAAUAACACAAACCAUAGGCAAAAUCUCCUAUUAGACCGUCUCACCGAUGCGGGUCAAGUUUUUCAUAAGUAUUACGCUUUCCUUCAUAAGUAUUACAAUUGCCUUCGUAAGUAACUCUUCAACCCCUAAUUCCCUAAUAUUACAUUUUGAUUU
Molecule: long non-coding RNA, 271 nt
Organism: Ipomoea nil (Japanese morning glory)
Lineage: Eukaryota; Viridiplantae; Streptophyta; Magnoliopsida; Solanales; Convolvulaceae
Exons: 2
Source: RefSeq, a predicted model, not a curated record